RNAcentral lists this ribosomal RNA (220 nucleotides) under uncultured bacterium. RNAcentral describes it as "partial 16S ribosomal RNA". It matches the Rfam family "Bacterial small subunit ribosomal RNA", at positions 111 to 334 of the family's 1533-position model. The record is from RNAcentral.
UAAUGUAUGGGGAUCUGCCCGAUAGAGGGGGAUAACUACUGGAAACGGCGGCUAAUACCGCAUAAUGUCUACGGACCAAAGCAGGGGCUCUUCGGACCUUGCACUAUCGGAUGAACCCAUAUGGGAUUAGCUAGUAGGUGGGGUAAAGGCUCACCUAGGCGACGAUCUCUAGCUGGUCUGAGAGGAUGAUCAGCCACACUGGGACUGAGACACGGCCCAG